UAAAAGCUAAGCCUACAGAGCAGGAAGGAAAUUGGACAGAGGUGAGCUGAAGGGCAGCCAGGGGCCGGCCAGGUGCAAGGAAAAUGAAUGCAUGAUCUGGAUAAGAAUCCACUGGGGAAUUUAGCAAAGAUUCUGUCAAUGAACAAAGAAGGUGGCGAGAGCUCCAGAGCUCCCCGGCUCCAGAUAACACGGCCACUCUCCUAGCUCCCUCCUCUGUCUGUGUGUCACCAUUUGCCAGAACAAAGAAGGGACUCCAAAACUUGUAAACUGGAAGUUCUGUCUGUUUUGCUCACUGCUGUCUCUCAGUGCCUGCGUCUGUGGCAGAUGAUUGUGAUGCGAAGUCAAGUUCAAUGGAAGAGUAGCAAAAUGACAGGUGGAACAGUGUGUUCUGGGCUGCCAUGAAAUCAGAACUAAGAUGGCUAAAGCAAGGAGACCAGAUAGGAGAAAUAGACAACUUACAGAAUGGGAGAAAAAUCAAGCAGGUAACUGCUGAAAGAAGUCUAUCACCAAAAUGAGUCACUGAGCCAAGAAGGAAGACAACUUCAGGGCCAGCAAGGAGUCUAGAUCAGCUGUGCAGGCCGUGGUCUAACAUUUUGGAGGGAAUGUCUAAGGAAUGAGGGGCACCGAUACAGGAACAGCUGGUGUCACAUUUAUUAGGGGCAUCGAUGUCCCAUUUUUGUGGCAUGACAGUGUGGUAUGUUGCCAAAGUGAGAAACUUCAGGGUCGGGUAAUCUAGCUGUGUAGCACUUUCUGAUAUUUGUGCCGGCACCUGUGAGUUCUGAUGAAAGUUGUGAUGAAGAGCACACCCAGGAGCAAGGAGAGCUGCUCAUGGCAUGGUGGGGGAAAAAGAAUUUGGAGAUCCAUCUCGCAGCCAUCCGAGGUGGGACUCCAGGAGCAGUUGACUGUGAAAGCUGCACAAUUUGUCAUCUUUGCCACCUUACUCUUCAUGGCAGUCACAGUGCUUGGAAUGACUGAACUGAGGAAAAUGGAUCCUCAUGCGACAGGUGUCUUGCCCUAGACCCAGACGAAAGGAAUGGAGACAGAGACACAGAGAAGAAUCUGAACAAACAGAUCUUGUGGCUUCAGAAAAGGUUGCCUGACUCUACAAAGGCUAUUUCCAUGCCACUGACAUGAGCCUAUGGAACCUUAUGUACCCUACAUGUGAGGUAGAAACACUGGUGUAAAUAGAUCCCAGUCCUGGAGGACCAUCUGACCUAUGUUGGAAAUGAUGCAAUGGAAAGAUCCUUGGCCUUGGAAUCAGAUGAGCACCUGUCACAGCUCUACAGUGUGUGAUGGUGGGGAGGUGGGCAGGUUGCUGUAACCUUUUGCUUUUCCCACCAUAGCUGUGAUGAACAUCUUUAAAUAUAUUCCUUUGUGUACCUAUGUGAAGAUUUCU
Molecule: non-coding RNA, 1396 nt
Organism: Microcebus murinus (gray mouse lemur)
Lineage: Eukaryota; Metazoa; Chordata; Mammalia; Primates; Cheirogaleidae
Source: RefSeq, a predicted model, not a curated record